Molecule: ribosomal RNA, 493 nt
Filed under: uncultured bacterium
Lineage: Bacteria
Description: bacterial SSU rRNA
Rfam family: Bacterial small subunit ribosomal RNA
Source: RNAcentral
AGGACGAACGCUGGCGGCGUGCCUAAUACAUGCAAGUCGAACGAACUGUGGAAAGCUUGCUUUCAGAGUUAGUGGCGAACGGGUGAGUAACACGUAAGUAACCUAGCUAUUAGACGAGGAUAACUACUGGAAACGGUAGCUAAGACUGGAUAUGAUAGAAAUAUUUAAAGGAUGCUAAGGCAUCGCUAAUAGAGGGGCUUGCGGCGCAUUAGCUAGUUGGUAGGGUAAAGCCAACCAAGGCGAUGAUGCGUAGCCGACCUGAGAGGGUGACCGGCCACACUGGGACUGAGACACGGCCCAGACUCCUACGGGAGGCAGCAGUAGGGAAUCUUCGGCAAUGGACGGAAGUCUGACCGAGCAACGCCGCGUGAAGUGAAGAAAGUUUUCGGAUUGUAAAGCUCUGUUAUUAGGGAAGAAAGGCUCUAGGAGGAAAUGCUUAGGGAUUGACGGUACCUAAUGAGGAAGCCACGGCUAACUACGUGCCAGCAGCUGC